Molecule: ribosomal RNA, 545 nt
Filed under: uncultured bacterium
Lineage: Bacteria
Description: bacterial SSU rRNA
Rfam family: Bacterial small subunit ribosomal RNA
Source: RNAcentral
UGGGGAAUAUUGCGCAAUGGGGGGAACCCUGACGCAGCCAUGCCGCGUGAAUGAAGAAGGCCUUCGGGUUGUAAAGUUCUUUCGGUAUUGAGGAAGGUUGAUGUGUUAAUAGUACAUCAAAUUGACGUUAAAUACAGAAGAAGCACCGGCUAACUCCGUGCCAGCAGCCGCGGUAAUACGGAGGGUGCGAGCGUUAAUCGGAAUAACUGGGCGUAAAGGNCAAGCAGGCGGUUAUUUAAGUGAGGUGUGAAAGCCCCGGGCUUAACCUGGGAAUUGCAUUUCAGACUGGGUAACUAGAGUACUUUAGGGAGGGGUAGAAUUCCACGUGUAGCGGUGAAAUGCGUAGAGAUGUGGAGGAAUACCGAAGGCGAAGCNAGCCCCUUGGGAAUGUACUGACGCGCAUGUGCGAAAGCGUGGGGAGCAAACAGGAUUAGAUACCCUGGUAGUCCACGCUGUAAACGCUGUCGAUUUGGGGGUUGGGGUUUAACUCUGGCGCCCGUAGCUAACGUGAUAAAUCGACCGCCUGGGGAGUACGGCCGCAAGUU